This 504-nucleotide ribosomal RNA is filed under the name uncultured bacterium. RNAcentral's name for it is "bacterial SSU rRNA". It matches the Rfam family "Bacterial small subunit ribosomal RNA", at positions 8 to 507 of the family's 1533-position model. The record is from RNAcentral.
AGAGUUUGAUCAUGGCUCAGGAUGAACGCUAGACGGCAGGCCUAAUACAUGCAAGACGAACGGUAAGUUGAGUAGCAAUACUUAGCCAAGAGUGUCGUACGGGUGCGUAACACGUAUGCAACCUACCCUAUACAGGAGGAUAGCCUAGGGAAACCUGGAUUAACCCUUCAUAGUAUUAUUGGAUGGCAUCAUUUGAUAGUUAAAACUGAGGUGGUAUAGGAUGGGCAUGCGUCUGAUUAGUUAGUUGGCGGGGUAAUGGCCCACCAAGACGAUGAUCAGUAGGGGUUCUGAGAGGAAGAUCCCCCACACUGGCACUGAGAUACGGGCCAGACUCCUACGGGAGGCAGCAGUAGGGAAUAUUGGUCAAUGGAUGCAAGUCUGAACCAGCCAUGCCGCGUGCAGGAAGAAGGCCUUCUGGGUUGUAAACUGCUUUUGCCAGGGGAUAAAAUUUCCAUGCGUGGAAAACUGAAGGUACCUGGUGAAUAAGCCACGGCUAACUACGUG